Molecule: ribosomal RNA, 368 nt
Filed under: uncultured organism
Description: bacterial SSU rRNA
Rfam family: Bacterial small subunit ribosomal RNA
Source: RNAcentral
CGGAGGGUGCAAGCGUUAUCCGGAUUCACUGGGUUUAAAGGGUGCGUAGGCGGACAGGUAAGUCAGUGGUGAAAUCUUCGAGCCUAACUCGGAAACUGCCGUUGAUACUAUUUGUCUUGAAUAACGUUGAGGUGAGCGGAAUAUGUCAUGUAGCGGUGAAAUGCUUAGAUAUGACAUAGAACACCGAUUGCGAAGGCAGCUCACUAAACGCUCAUUGACGCUGAGGCACGAAAGCGUGGGGAUCAAACAGGAUUAGAUACCCUGAUAGUCCACGCCCUAAACGAUGAUUACUCGACAUACGUGAUAAACUAUGUGUGUCUGAGCGAAAGCAUUAAGUAAUCCACCUGGGAAGUACGACCGCAAGGUUG